GAAUGUUUGGUAGAACGUGACGGUAAACCUGUCUGGUGUGGUGCUUCUAUAGGAAGGUUUUUAAAUUGUUGUUUCUGUAAUGGUAAUGUGUCUUUUUUCAUUCAUUGUUCUGGGCAUUUCUGGUAGUUUCCAUCUGGAAAUGCACAGUCAGGGCGUGGAAUGUUUGCUAGAAUUAUUUGAUCAUUUCUUCUUCACUGCCGUUGUUUUUCUUGAAACACCCAAUUGGAUAUCAAACCUCCAUGUUGAUAUUCUAAUUUGCUUUGCUCAAGGGCAUUUCGUUUAUCUUUUUGGAUGACUUCCUCAGCUUGCUUCCAGUUCUACAGAAUUUACUCUUUGCCUUUAUGUUUUUGUGGUGUCCCUGAGGUCAAGUUUAAACUCAGGAAUAACCUUUCACUCUGGUCUUCUUUCAGGGUGCCAGUGGGGUGGGGACCUGGCUUCACAGAGUGAGGCAGAUCUGUGGGCUCAAAUGCGCCUUUGCAGGACUCACAGCUGUUCUGUGUUUUCAGUCUCUCCUGGUGCAGAGGGUCACGUGCCUCACUUCCCAGCCCAUGAGAGUUGAGUGGGAAUCAGCCUGCUGCCUUUCCCCACCCUAGAACUUGGGCUUCAGCUUUCUCUGUUCUGCCACGUUAAUUGUCACUUCUCUAUCCACUUGCUGUUUUCCAAAACGGUUGAUCUCUCCUAUGCUGGUGUCUCUAAUUCUGUCUUCGUGGUCUCUUUUUAUUCCCUUACUGGCCAGUGGAGGUGCAGGAGUUGAUCUUGUUACUUCUACAGUAAUACAAGCAUUUGCUUCCUGGAGAACCCAACCUGCCACAACAGGAAACAUUUAGAUCCUACAAAGUCAGCUGGGAAGGGAAGGAAUUCAGAAAAAAGAAUGAAACACUGAAAACUGUAUAUCAAAUAAGAAGAAUGAUGUGGAUUGUCGACUGGGAGACUAUAAAACCCAUCACUGAGCUCUUCAGGUCACAGAAGAGGGAGCCAGAAAGGGAUUAGAUUACAGAAGAGGAGAAGGCAGUGCGCCUACAGAGACUGGAGUGAUGUGGCCACAAGCCAAGGAAUGCAGACAGUGACCAGAAGCUGGAAAAGACAAGGAUCUCUCCCUUGGGACCUCCAGAGGGAACCAGGCCUGCCAACCCCUUGAUUUUAGCCCCAUA
Molecule: long non-coding RNA, 1151 nt
Filed under: Equus caballus (horse)
Lineage: Eukaryota; Metazoa; Chordata; Mammalia; Perissodactyla; Equidae
Description: lncRNA (ENSECAG00000049974.1)
Source: RNAcentral